Molecule: long non-coding RNA, 296 nt
Filed under: Nicotiana benthamiana
Lineage: Eukaryota; Viridiplantae; Streptophyta; Magnoliopsida; Solanales; Solanaceae
Description: long non-coding RNA (NBEN_LNC001713)
Source: RNAcentral
GGCUCAAAACAUACAAAUAGAUGUUCAAAAAAAGAUAUUUAUACAUAUAGCGUAUAACAACAACACACUAUACAUUAACAGUGACGUCUGUCCUUUAUGCAGGCUUCUUAGAACAUGACUCAUUCUGAUGCUUCUUGUGGACUAUGUAACAAAUUAAAUACAAAACAUGGUAAAAUAGAAAUACGUUAAUUCUCUCCAAUUCCCCUUUAGAAUUAGCUACUAUUUCAAUCAUACCCAAUUCAAUUGCUUGAUCAAACACAAACACGUUAAAUUGUGUAUUUACACACGAGUCCUCU